Molecule: transfer RNA, 84 nt
Filed under: Manihot esculenta (cassava)
Lineage: Eukaryota; Viridiplantae; Streptophyta; Magnoliopsida; Malpighiales; Euphorbiaceae
Description: tRNA-Leu (TAA) (tRNA-Leu-TAA-8-1)
Rfam family: tRNA
About the family: Transfer RNA (tRNA) molecules are approximately 80 nucleotides in length. Their secondary structure includes four short double-helical elements and three loops (D, anti-codon, and T loops). Further hydrogen bonds mediate the characteristic L-shaped molecular structure. tRNAs have two regions of fundamental functional importance: the anti-codon, which is responsible for specific mRNA codon recognition, and the 3' end, to which the tRNAs corresponding amino acid is attached (by aminoacyl-tRNA synthetases). tRNAs cope with the degeneracy of the genetic code in two manners: having more than one tRNA (with a specific anti-codon) for a particular amino acid; and 'wobble' base-pairing, i.e. permitting non-standard base-pairing at the 3rd anti-codon position.
Source: Rfam by way of RNAcentral
GCUGGUUUGCCCGAGAGGUUAAGGGGGAAGACUUAAGAUCUUCUGCAUAUAAAAUGCGCAUGGGUUCGAACCCCAUAGCCAGCA